Molecule: ribosomal RNA, 497 nt
Filed under: uncultured bacterium
Lineage: Bacteria
Description: partial 16S ribosomal RNA
Rfam family: Bacterial small subunit ribosomal RNA
Source: RNAcentral
GAUGAACGCUGGCGGCGUGCCUAAUACAUGCAAGUCGAGCGAACAGAUGAGGAGCUUGCUCCUCUGACGUUAGCGGCGGACGGGUGAGUAACACGUGGAUAACCUACCUAUAAGAAUGGGAUAACUUCGGGAAACCGGAGCUAAUACCGGAUAAUAUAUUGAACCGCAUGGUUCAAUAGUGAAAGACGGUUUUGCUGUCACUUAUAGAUGGUUCCGCGCCGCAUUAGCUAGUUGGUAAGGUAACGGCUUACCAAGGCAACGAUGCGUAGCUGACCUGAGAGGAUGAUCGGCCACACUGGAACUGAGACACGGUCCAGACUCCUACGGGAGGCAGCAGUAGGGAAUCUUCCGCAAUGGGCGAAAGCCUGACGGAGCAACGCCGCGUGAGUGAUGAAGGUCUUCGGAUCGUAAAACUCUGUUAUUAGGGAAGAACAAAUGUGUAAGUAACUAUGCACGUCUUGACGGUACCUAAUCAAAAAGCCACGGCUAACUACGUG